GGGACUUACUUCUUUGCUGUGGACACGUGUGAGGAGAAAACUUCUGGAAACAGAUCAGACUCGGCCAAACAAGCACGAACAGUAAAUUCCGAAUCAAUCGGGCUGGUCAUAGCGAUACUCUGCUUGGUGAUUUCUCUGAUUGGAAAUGUUUCUCUCAUUUGCUUCCAAACUCCGAGAGAAGAAAGUGAACAAUCUAAAGCUGCUGUCGUCCUGCAAUUAAACAGCGAGAGGGUGAAAAAUCAACAGAUUGAUGAGGAGACUAAAGUUUACUCUGCUGUGGUCUUCACCAUGAGGAAAGCUGACCGUGGUGCAGUGAAGGAUGCAAAAGUAGCGCAGAGGAAAAGGAUGUGUGCUGCUGUGAAGGAUUUUGGUUUGAAUUAGUGAGUGAAAAGGUCUGUUUGGCUACAUUUGAUUUAGCUGAUUUUAGUUUGUUUAAAGCUUAAGAAAAUGCUGAUUACCUCCAAAUAUCUACACUUAGAUAACUUAAGGAGGUGCUAUGAAUAUUCUAUCACUCAGGUUGUGACUGUAUUGGUAUGUGUAUGCAAAUGAUAUUCUAUAAUUCAUAAUAAAAUGUAUUUGUCAAACCUCCUUGGAUUAAAGGACUGUAACAUUCAGGCUUA
This is a non-coding RNA of Labrus bergylta (ballan wrasse), 620 nucleotides long. Lineage: Eukaryota; Metazoa; Chordata; Actinopteri; Labriformes; Labridae. The record is from RefSeq and is a predicted model, not a curated record.